AUACGGAGGAUCCAAGCGUUAUCCGGAUUUAUUGGGUUUAAAGGGUGCGCAGGCGGAUCAAUAAGUCAGGGGUGAAAAAUUUCAGCUUAACUGGAAUCGUGCCUUUGAUACUGUUGGACUAGAGUAUAAUUGACGUGACUGGAAUGUGAUGUGUAGCGGUGAAAUGCUUAGAUAUGUCACAGAACGCCAAUCGUGAAGACAGGUCACGAAAUUAUUACUGACGCUCAUGCACGAAAGCGUGGGGAUCAAACAGGAUUAGAUACCCUGGUAGUCCACGCUGUAAACGAUGAUUACUCGUUGUUGGGCAGUGAUGCUCAGUGGCUAAGCGAAAGCGAUAAGUAAUCCACCUGGGGAGUACGAUCGCAAGGUUGAA
Molecule: ribosomal RNA, 373 nt
Filed under: uncultured bacterium
Lineage: Bacteria
Description: bacterial SSU rRNA
Rfam family: Bacterial small subunit ribosomal RNA
Source: RNAcentral